Molecule: unclassified non-coding RNA, 214 nt
Filed under: Hevea brasiliensis (rubber tree)
Lineage: Eukaryota; Viridiplantae; Streptophyta; Magnoliopsida; Malpighiales; Euphorbiaceae
Source: RNAcentral
GGAAUAUCUGGCCCGAGUCUGUUGGAUGCACGAAAAUAUUCUCAUCGCUCAGAUUCUGAAUAGGUUACAUACUAAGCUGAAAAUUCUCAGGUUUGAUAUCAAGACUGGGGAGAGAAAAGUUUUGCUGGUAGAAGAACAAGAUUCAUGGGUUAACUUACAUGAUUGUUUCACACCAUUAGACAAAAGUAUCAGCAAAUAUUCUGGAGGAUUUAUA